RNAcentral lists this ribosomal RNA (468 nucleotides) under uncultured bacterium. Its description in RNAcentral is "partial 16S ribosomal RNA". It matches the Rfam family "Bacterial small subunit ribosomal RNA", at positions 28 to 507 of the family's 1533-position model. The record is from RNAcentral.
GACGAACGCUGGCGGCGUGCUUAACACAUGCAAGUCGAACGGAAAGGCCCUGCUUUUGUGGGGUGCUCGAGUGGCGAACGGGUGAGUAACACGUGAGUAACCUGCCCUUGACUUUGGGAUAACUUCAGGAAACUGGGGCUAAUACCGGAUAGGAGCUCCUGCUGCAUGGUGGGGGUUGGAAAGUUUCGGCGGUUGGGGAUGGACGCGCGGCCUAUCAGCUUGUUGGUGGGGUAGUGGCUUACCAAGGCUUUGACGGGUAGCCGGCCUGAGAGGGUGACCGGCCACAAGGGGACUGAGAGAGGGCGCAGACUCCAACGGGAGGCAGCAGUGGGGAAUAUGGCACAAUGGGCGGAAGCCUGAGACAGCAACGCCGCGUGCGGGAUGACGGCCUUCGUGUUGGAAACCGCUUUCGCCUGUGACGAAGCGUGAGUGACGGUAAUGGGUAAAGAAGCACCGGCUAACUACGUG